GAUGAACGCUGGCGGCGUGCCUAACACAUGCAAGUCGAGCGAACGGACGAGAAGCUCUCUUUGCUGAUGUUGGCGACGGACGGGUGAGUAAUGCGUGGAUAGCCUACCAAUAUGACUUGGGUAACUUCGGGAAACCGGAGCUACUACUAGAUAAUACUUCCAACUGGUUGGUGCAAGAGUGAUUGACCGUUUUGCGGUCACUUAUAGACGGAUCCGCGCUGCAUUAGCUAGUUGGUAAGGUAACGGCUUACCAAGGCAACGAUGCGUAGCCGACCUGAGAGGGUGAUCGGCCACACUGGAACUGAGACAGGGUCCAGACUCCUACGGGAGGCAGCAGUAGGGAAUCUGCGGCAAUGGGCGAAAGCCUGACGCAGCAAGGCCGCGUGAGUGAUGAAGGUCUUCGGAUCGUAAAGCUCUGUUUUUGGGGAAGAACAUCUGUGUGUGUAAAAGUAGACAUCUUGACGGUACCUAAAGAAGAAGCCACGGCUAACUACGUG
This 497-nucleotide ribosomal RNA is filed under the name uncultured bacterium. RNAcentral describes it as "partial 16S ribosomal RNA". It matches the Rfam family "Bacterial small subunit ribosomal RNA", at positions 28 to 507 of the family's 1533-position model. The record is from RNAcentral.